AUGGCCAACAACAACCUCCCCCGCCGGAUCAUCAAGGAGACGCAGCGGCUGCUCAGCGAGCCAGCGCCGGGGAUCAGCGCCUCGCCGUCGGAGGAGAACAUGCGCUACUUCAAUGUCAUGGUCCUUGGCCCCGCUCAGUCGCCCUACGAAGGCAAGAUAGAUACUACAACGUCGGUCCGCGUGUGGGAGCCCGUGCUCCCUCGGUAG
RNAcentral lists this ribosomal RNA (207 nucleotides) under Triticum aestivum (bread wheat). RNAcentral describes it as "partial small subunit ribosomal RNA". The record is from RNAcentral. Lineage: Eukaryota; Viridiplantae; Streptophyta; Magnoliopsida; Poales; Poaceae.